GACCGGGAUCGGGCUCCCCGCGUCCUGCCGAGGCUGCUGAGGGGGAGCCGUGCCACCUCCCUGCUUCUCCCUGCCCGCCAUGUCACUGUUCGAAGGCACGACUGCUCGAAAAGUGUAAAAGUCCGGAGGCUGCAGCAGGUUCCCCCCCGGCUCUCAGGUUUGGAGUCAAUAACCCGCUGAAAUGAGCGCGGCGGCGGUUGCUUUUCCAGCAAUUGUUUUCCAGCGCUCGUUCCAGGAUAUCGGGCUACACGCACGUUGGGUUUCCUCAAGAUGCCAGGGAAAAAGCGGUGGCACGGAGUGGCAGCUGGAGCCAGGGGCAGCUUGUGAGCCGAACCCCUCACGAAUUCCCUAGGAGUGAAUCUUAACAGAGUCUUCCACACAGUUCAGGCAGAGAAUGACACAGGUGCGGCACAGGAAGCCCUAAAUGAGGUAACAGAAGAAUUUUAAAAUUAGAAUAAAUGGUGCAAGUACAAAACAAUGCUACAAGGGCAGAUGAUUUCCUGUAGCAGUUUGUGUCAGUACAGGAUAUGUGCUGGGCAUGAUGCAGGGGGGCAGAAGAAUGUUUGUGUGGGUUUAGCAUUGAUGUUUGUGCAAACUUUGGUGGUAUUAAUAAGAUAGGUUGUUAAACUGGAGAGUUGAGGGUUGGAAAGGUGUUAAAUUUGGAGGAGAGGGGUUGAGGGUGGUGGGGUUGGGGUGUGACAUGAAACAUGGAGCUGGAAGAGAAUGGAGGCACACCAUAUCCAGAUCCUUAAGCACAUCCAGGGCAGUGGGGUUUUACACAUGUGCAAUCCAGGUUAAAACAUACUUAUUGGAUAGUUACAUGCCAAAAGAAAAAUCUUAACAUGGAUAGGAGACAUCAAAAGGUUUAAAAGUAAUUGCAUUAAAUAGGUUUUGUCAAACCUGCAGGCAUUGUGCAUCAUUUUCAGCGGUGAAUGAGCUGCAGAUCUGUGUUUCACAGCUGCACACAGAAGGGUUUAUUUUUGUGGUACAGUUUUACUCUUCCAGUGCCAUCUAUACUGCUGUUGCCACUGGCUGAUCUGUAGAUAAAUUCUGAUUCCUUCCUCUGAAAUAAUUUUACUGUACACAGUGUUUCUAUGAACAUUUUCCUACCUGUAGCGCUACUGGAACACCUGUUCUCUAAUUUCUUUCAUAUUUCUUCUUAGGGCUUAGGAUGUGUUUGCAACAACCUUUUCAGCCAGCUGCUAUCCUCUUCAUGUUCAAAUGUUUAAUACAAGAAUUAUGUCUUCUUCAAAUCUUCUCAGCUCGAAGGGAUAAAAGGCUAAAUUUUGAGGAUUUUUUUUUUUUAAAUAAGUAAUGUUGUACUGAGUAGUUGAUUUUGUCAUUGUUACUCUUAUUCUUCUGCAUGGAUCUUUCUUUCUCCUUAUGAGCUGUUGAUCUUAUGAAAUCAAAUUGGUAUUCUUAGCAGAAACUGUGUCUGUACUUACUGAGGGAUUUUGCAAAAAGUAAAUUAGCAAAUUACAUGUAGGGUCUGAGGCAGAAAAUUCCCCAAGCUAUUGCAGAAUUUAAGGUGUGGUUUAUUAGUUACAUCUCUUUUUUUAAAGUCUUUUCACUGCAUUUAAUUCAGCACUACACAUUAUACUGCCUGUUAUGGUUCAGUCUGUUUUAUUGGCCUAUCACAAACAAUGUUCUGUGAUCAGGUACCAUUUAACAUUGACUUUAAGAUACUUGGGAGACACUGCCAUUUAAAUUGAAAUGCAUGUUUAAUUCCAGGGGCUGGGAUCUGCCAUCGUGGUUUUUGUGAAGUAAUUACUGAGCUCUGAAGAAAGUGUUUGAGACUGUGCUACUCUUCUCAGAAGAAAAGAGGAUAAAGAAAAUCAUUCUUCUCGAAGAAAAUGUAAUUUGAAAGAUAGCAGGGAAACUGGGCCUGUUGUGCACAGGCUGUAGCAGGAUAAAGUUCCAUUAAGUAAGGAUGUAAGCCAGUGGAUGUCUGCAACAGAAAAAGAAAAGGAAGACAGAGAGGUUUGGAUUCACACAGACAACUUCUGUGGCUAAGUUGAGAUUUCCAGGUGAAAUCCAACCUGAAGUAAAAUGAAGACAAAAAAAGCAAUAUUUAGUGAGUAUAAAAUUAGAAGUAAUACAGUGGGUAGCAGUACGUAAUAUAUACUCUGUCUCACAGAAGUCAAAAAUAAAUACUUCCGAUAAUAGAAUGCAGAAAAAAAUAGCAAGAAUUUAAAAAACUUAUUUUGUCCCAUGUGAGAAACUGAACAUUAUUUGUUUUAAAAUACAUGAGUUCAGUCCACACCUCAUGCUCCUCAGCCUCUAACUAAAUAAAAUUUAACAGGAUUGUGGUAUAGAAUAGGCUGACCAAAAAACAGGCAAUUGCUUUGUUAAGUGUUUUGGUGUUCUCACUGCUCAUAGUCUAUGGUGUAAUAUAAAAAUGUUUAACCCCACUUCUGUUCACAGAAGCUGUUUUCAUUUGCAAACGAAUAAGUUACUUUACAGGUGUAAAUCUGAUAUGUAUGACUGUGACUGUAGUCGGUACAAAAGUAAUAAAAAACCUGAUGGCUUCUUAGAAAAAAACCAGAAUGUGGAAGUAAAUAGGAUAAAACAUUUUUUUGUCACAGACAGAUCAUGCCAGACUUGCCUGUUUUCUUUCUGUGGUACCGUAACUGCUUUUCUAGACAAACAAAUUUGUUAAACUGGAGAAAAGGGGAAUUUUUAAGGUAAGUGUCAGAUAGGUGAAGAAACAGCCCAGAGGAAAAGGUGGCAACGUGUUCUGUUGAAUGGCAGGGGGAUGUUGUUGGAGCUCUGUCCAGUAAUUGAUACUGAAACUGGUAUUGUUGAUGUCUUCAUUAGUGAUCUUGGCACAAAAACUAGAACUUGGCCGUGAACUUUGUUGACAUCACAAAGUUGGGAAACGCUCCCUGUAGGGUGACGUCGGACCGGAAUAAUUGGAUGACCUUGAGGAAUGGAGAAGUAAAAUGGGAUAUGUUAGAGUAACACCAAGUACAAAGUCAUGUGUUAGGGCGUAAUAGGAAAGGCUUAGCCAAGCUCAGAGCUUGUCAGAUGGAAGAUGAGAGAAUUUCAAAGAACUGGGUGUAUAAGCCAAGCACAGAGGGUCUGUGAGUCACUGAUUCGAUGCUGCUGUGGAAAAUGUGAAUUCAGUCCCAUGUAAAUUCAGCCUUGCAUUUCUUGUACAGAUGAAGCAGUACUAAUGGCACAUGUACUAAUGGUGCCUGUGGCUGGUGAGACUUUAAAAACUGAGAGGAGAUCUGGAAAUCCACGUGCAGGAAAUUGAACUUAGGAGAGCUGUAAAACCAAAAAAUUUUAAAUCCUUGCUAAAAGAGAGGACAAGAGACUAAAAGAACUUGACUUGCUUAGUUUAGACAACUGAAGCAUAAAUAUAGUCCUUGAAUAUACUAGUUGAAGCAAAUGUGACAGGAAAGGAAGCUUGUUUUUAUAAAAAAAAAAGUUAUAUGAAGAAAUGUUUCUAAACUGGGUAUGAAAAAAUUUUGAGUGAAAAUUAGAGUAAGUUUUUUAACUGUCGAAGCCUCUAAACAUUGCUAAGAGAAAGUGUCAUGUGCAAGGCAAACAUUAUAGAAUAGCACUGUCUUUAUCUCAUGGACCCCUAGAGUUGCAGAUCUGCUUUACAGCUUCUUUCCCAGCAAUGCUUCCCAUUUCCACACUUUCCCUUCUCUCUGCCUAUUUUAUAAGCCAUAUCUGAAAGAAUGAUAAUGUUGUUAAAUAUAUGGAGACUCUUCACUUUGAACUGUGUGUAGUAUCAGUUUCUUUUCAGCACUGAUACAUUAAUGAGAUGUAUUUGUAUCACUGCACAACCCAGCUAGAAAAUAAGCCCUUGCCUUUUAGUUCAGUAGUGCUUUCUGUAACUGCUCAGCUUGCUCUUUUCCUUCCUAUUUGAACAGCGUGUUCUUAUUUUUGUCCUUGCCAGCAAAUAGUCAAAAUGUUCUCAUUAAGAACUUGAGGAAUGACAUAAUGCUGGAAUUCACUGCCAGAAUCGAGCCUUACUUGGCUUUUUGACGUACAGUAGGCCAGCCUAGGAAGAGCCUGUCGUGCCUCAAAUGUUUGUUUAUAAUCAUUUGUAGUUAUCUUGCAUAGUCAUCUUUCAGUAAUCUUGAGCGUAAUGACUACAGUAACUGCUGUUUCAAGGCAGUGUUUGCCUACACUGAGUAAUUUGGCCGUGCAGAGAAACUUUCCAAAGGAAAAGGAAGUAGAAUGCAGCUCUAGACUGCUGCAUGACUGCCAGCCUUCCCACCGGGGGGAUUGUUGGCCUCCUGUCACCCAAGAUCUCCUCAAGAUUUGAAGCUUUUAUUUAUUUUUUUUUUCGGAUGAUGACUGUCCAGAUGUCCUUCAGAACUCCAGAGCAAUCCAGUGCUGAGUUACACCUUCCACACAAAGCAGCCUGAGGGCAUUCCUGUGUUAAUGAGUACAGCCAGCUCUGAACUGGCAAAGUUCAAGCUGUUCUUUGUACAAACACCGUCGAAUAUUUUAAUCUCCAUUUGCUUUUGAAAGAAUAGUUGGCUCGCAAUACCGAGGCUUAUUUUCACUCUUGCAGUGAUUUAUAAAUCCUCCCCCUCUUGCAAGUGUUAUUUAAUUUUGUCUCACAGUGUCUUUGUGAAGUAGGGAAGUAUUGCAAAUUCUGGGCCAGGUAUUUUGGAUGAAUAGUCUGUUCUCAGGAAAUCCAAUUUCCAUCUGAAAACAAAAGGUUUGUAAAUUAUUCUUGGAUUUAGUUUCUAGUUUUGGCCAAAAAUAACGGUAAAAAAGAAGUUACUUGGACUUUUUAAUGGCUAAAGUUAUAUCUUUAUUUUAAAAAGUCAAAUACCAAUUUGUUGAUACUUUUAUCAGAUAGAAUCUUCCUGCUGUAGAAUGAAAUCCACUAUUUCAACCAAAAUGAAAGUAGAAUGUUAUUCUCCUAGUAAUGCUUCUUUCAUUCAUUAUAAAUCAUACCCUGAUAUAUUAUGUAUGUACUUGUGUAAACCUAUUUUUUAACUUUCUUUAUUUUUACCAUGAGAUUUCUUCUAUAAAAAAGCAAAAAACAAAACGAAACAACAACAAAAUCCAACACAGACAAACGAUUAAAAAACCCCUUCUGCAACCUGCAUUAGUAUUUCUAUUUUAUUAGUGGGAAAACUGAGGAUCAACUUUUAUAUGUUAUGUCCUAAACCAGUCUGUGAUGGAGCCUGGUACCGAGCUUGUGUCUUUCAGACUCUUUUCUCCCAAGACUCUUCUUGUUUUCUAUUCAGUAAAGUGAAACUUUCUCUUUUAUUGCUUUGUAUUAAACUCUGUAUGAAAAACCAUAACUUCCUGAAAAAUCCCUUUGGGAUGCUGGGAGCUGGUGCAUUCCAGCAACAUGGAACAUGGUGAGUGUGGCUGCAGGAGGGUGAGGUCCCUGCACAGGAUCAGGAGUGUUGCCAAAGGUGG
This is a long non-coding RNA of Pseudopipra pipra, 5400 nucleotides long. RefSeq lists it as uncharacterized. NCBI's taxonomy places the organism in Eukaryota, Metazoa, Chordata, Aves, Passeriformes, Pipridae. The record is from RefSeq and is a predicted model, not a curated record. The transcript has 3 exons.